AGAAAGAAAGAAAGAAAGAAAGAAAGAAAGAAAGGGAAAGAAAGAAAAGUUGACUGAGACAUGGCCCAUUCCCUCCCUGGGACCAGCCUCUUCUUUCCAGCUCAAGGGUCAAGACAGUGUCCCCAGGAAGAAGCAAAGGCUGUGUUUUCCACACUCUUAUCUAGAGGUGAGCUGGCAGAAGCUCCUCCCAGACUGCAUCUAUCAGACAGGGAGACAAUAACUGCUUGGGUGAGGAACAAAGGGAGGAGACACCAACUGUCCCCACUAAUGACAGAAGAUGUGGCAGCCUGAAGCCCUAAUAUUGGCUGUGGCCCUUUAAGAUCCCUCCCCACUUAACUGUAACACCCCCCUUCUCCAGGAAACUGGCAAGGACCCUUGGCACUGUUGGCCAGCGCUCUUGGAGACAGCCAGGACGGGGUUGGCAGGACUGCCUACACUGCUUUGAAAAUAUUUAACAAUAGACAUGAAGUCUUGCCAUGUUGCCCAGGCUGGUCUCAAACUCCUGAGUCAA
This 511-nucleotide long non-coding RNA is filed under the name Homo sapiens (human). RNAcentral's name for it is "HSALNT0318774". Lineage: Eukaryota; Metazoa; Chordata; Mammalia; Primates; Hominidae. The record is from RNAcentral.